GACAGGAUGGUGUAAUGGUUUGAGCGUUGGACUAGGAUAUUGGGAGACCAGGGUUCAAAUCCCUGCUCAGCCA
This is a non-coding RNA of Phrynosoma platyrhinos (Desert horned lizard), 73 nucleotides long. NCBI's taxonomy places the organism in Eukaryota, Metazoa, Chordata, Lepidosauria, Squamata, Phrynosomatidae. The record is from the annotation of a GenBank genome assembly.